UACGAAGGGGGCUAGCGUUGCUCGGAAUUACUGGGCGUAAAGCGUGCGCAGGCGGUUUGUUAAGUCCGUUGUGAAAGCCCCGAGCUCAACUUGGGAAUUGCAGUGGAUACUGGCAGGCUGGAGUACGGUAGAGGAAGGUGGAAUUCCCGGUGUAGCAGUGAAAUGCGUAGAUAUCGGGAGGAACACCAGUGGCGAAGGCGGCCUUCUGGACCAGUACUGACGCUCAUGCACGAAAGCGUGGGGAGCAAACAGG
This 253-nucleotide ribosomal RNA is filed under the name uncultured bacterium. Its description in RNAcentral is "partial 16S ribosomal RNA". It matches the Rfam family "Bacterial small subunit ribosomal RNA", at positions 524 to 776 of the family's 1533-position model. The record is from RNAcentral.